Molecule: ribosomal RNA, 498 nt
Filed under: uncultured bacterium
Lineage: Bacteria
Description: partial 16S ribosomal RNA
Rfam family: Bacterial small subunit ribosomal RNA
Source: RNAcentral
GAUGAACGCUAGCGGCAGGCCUAAUACAUGCAAGUCGAACGGGAUUGAGGAGCUUGCUCCUCAUGAGAGUGGCGCACGGGUGCGUAACACGUAUGUAACCUACCUUAAUCAGGGGAAUAGCCUCUCGAAAGAGAGAUUAACACCGCAUAAAAUCACACUAUGGCAUCAUAGAAUGAUCACAUAUUUAUAGGAUUAAGAUGGGCAUGCGGAACAUUAGCUAGUUGGUAAGGUAACGGCUUACCAAGGCUACGAUGUUUAGGGGAUCUGAGAGGAUGGCCCCCCACACUGGUACUGAGACACGGACCAGACUCCUACGGGAGGCAGCAGUAAGGAAUAUUGGUCAAUGGGCGGAAGCCUGAACCAGCCAUGCCGCGUGCAGGAAGACGGCCCUACGGGUUGUAAACUGCUUUUGUACCGGAAUAAACCUUUCUACGUGUAGGAAGCUGAAUGUACGGUAAGGAUAAGGAUCGGCUAACUCCGUGCCAGCCGCCGCCGUAA